AGAGUUUGAUCAUGGCUCAGAUUGAACGCUGGCGGCAGGCCUAACACAUGCAAGUCGAGCGGUAGCACAGAGAGCUUGCUCUCGGGUGACGAGCGGCGGACGGGUGAGUAAUGUCUGGGAAACUGCCUGAUGGAGGGGGAUAACUACUGGAAACGGUAGCUAAUACCGCAUAAUGUCGCAAGACCAAAGUGGGGGACCUUCGGGCCUCAUGCCAUCAGAUGUGCCCAGAUGGGAUUAGCUAGUAGGUGGGGUAACGGCUCACCUAGGCGACGAUCCCUAGCUGGUCUGAGAGGAUGACCAGCCACACUGGAACUGAGACACGGUCCAGACUCCUACGGGAGGCAGCAGUGGGGAAUAUUGCACAAUGGGCGCAAGCCUGAUGCAGCCAUGCCGCGUGUGUGAAGAAGGCCUUCGGGUUGUAAAGCACUUUCAGCGGGGAGGAAGGCGGUGAGGUUAAUAACCUCAUCGAUUGACGUUACCCGCAGAAGAAGCACCGGCUAACUCCGUGCCAGCAGCCGCGGUAAUACGGAGGGUGCAAGCGUUAAUCGGAAUUACUGGGCGUAAAGCGCACGCAGGCGGUCUGUCAAGUCGGAUGUGAAAUCCCCGGGCUCAACCUGGGAACUGCAUUCGAAACUGGCAGGCUAGAGUCUUGUAGAGGGGGGUAGAAUUCCAGGUGUAGCGGUGAAAUGCGUAGAGAUCUGGAGGAAUACCGGUGGCGAAGGCGGCCCCCUGGACAAAGACUGACGCUCAGGUGCGAAAGCGUGGGGAGCAAACAGGAUUAGAUACCCUGGUAGUCCACGCCGUAAACGAUGUCGAUUUGGAGGUUGUGCCCUUGAGGCGUGGCUUCCGGAGCUAACGCGUUAAAUCGACCGCCUGGGGAGUACGGCCGCAAGGUUAAAACUCAAAUGAAUUGACGGGGGCCCGCACAAGCGGUGGAGCAUGUGGUUUAAUUCGAUGCAACGCGAAGAACCUUACCUGGUCUUGACAUCCACAGAACUUAGCAGAGAUGCUUUGGUGCCUUCGGGAACUGUGAGACAGGUGCUGCAUGGCUGUCGUCAGCUCGUGUUGUGAAAUGUUGGGUUAAGUCCCGCAACGAGCGCAACCCUUAUCCUUUGUUGCCAGCGGU
This 1126-nucleotide ribosomal RNA is filed under the name Klebsiella pneumoniae. Its description in RNAcentral is "bacterial SSU rRNA". It matches the Rfam family "Bacterial small subunit ribosomal RNA", at positions 8 to 1125 of the family's 1533-position model. Lineage: Bacteria; Pseudomonadati; Pseudomonadota; Gammaproteobacteria; Enterobacterales; Enterobacteriaceae. The record is from RNAcentral. RNAcentral also lists the same sequence under 4 other names.